Molecule: ribosomal RNA, 301 nt
Filed under: uncultured bacterium
Lineage: Bacteria
Description: partial 16S ribosomal RNA
Rfam family: Bacterial small subunit ribosomal RNA
Source: RNAcentral
CAGUAGCCGCGGUAAUACAGAGGGUGCGAGCGUUAAUCGGAUUUACUGGGCGUAAAGCGUGCGUAGGCGGCUUCUUAAGUCGGAUGUGAAAUCCCUGAGCUUAACCUGGGAACUGCAUUUGAAACUGUCAGGCUGGAGUCUUGUAGAGGGGGGUAGAAUUCCAGGUGUAGCGGUGAAAUGCGUAGAGAUCUGGAGGAAUACCGGUGGCGAAGGCGGCCCCCUGGACAAAGACUGACGCUCAGGUGCGAAAGCGUGGGGAGCAAACAGGAUUAGAUACCCCUGUAGUCCUGUCUCUUAUACA